Pogona vitticeps (central bearded dragon) is the source of this 402-nucleotide non-coding RNA. Lineage: Eukaryota; Metazoa; Chordata; Lepidosauria; Squamata; Agamidae. The record is from RefSeq and is a predicted model, not a curated record.
UAUACAAUUUCCUCUUACUCUUCUAUUUUCUCCUGGUCAGAUAAUGUGCUUUUCUUUGGCUAUUCAGUAUUCCUAAUCUAGGCUUAGAUUUCCGUUUGAUUUUGUGGAUUUCUACUGAUAGCACAGAUUCUUGGCCAUUCUUUAGGAUCAGCCAUUAUACCCUUCUGCCACAUGUGAUUGCCUUUGGAGGAACAUCUGAUGUUUUGGAAAAUUUGUGGAAAAAGAUAGCCCCAAGAUCUUCACCUGAAGCUGGAUUUUGUUGAUUCACACCAUAAACCCUACAUAACCACUGUGGCUUCCAGAGUGGAUUUCCACACUACAGACGUCAAUGUAACUGUGGAAACAUUAACAUUUUUCACCUCUGUGAAUGAGAUUACCCAGAGAUCUUUGGGUAGCGUGGGU